RNAcentral lists this ribosomal RNA (377 nucleotides) under uncultured eukaryote. RNAcentral describes it as "partial 18S ribosomal RNA". It matches the Rfam family "Eukaryotic small subunit ribosomal RNA", at positions 592 to 976 of the family's 1831-position model. The record is from RNAcentral.
CAAUAGCGUAUAUUAAAGUUGUUGCAGUUAAAAAGCUCGUAGUUGGAUUUCGGGGCAGCCUGGCUGGUCCGCCGCAAGGCGAGUACUGGUCAGCCGCCCUUCCUCUCGAAAGCCCCGACUGCUCUUUAUUGCAGUGGUCGGGUAGUUCGGGACGUUUACUUUGAAAAAAUUAGAGUGUUCAAGGCAGGCCUACGCCUGAAUACAUUAGCAUGGAAUAAUGGAAGAGGACCUCGGUCCUAUUUUGUUGGUUUCCAGGACCGAAGUAAUGAUUAAGAGGGACAGUUGGGGGCAUUCGUAUUUAAUUGUCAGAGGUGAAAUUCUCGGAUUUAUGAAAGGCGAACAACUGCGAAAGCAUUUGCCAAGGAUGUUUUCAUUAA